Musa acuminata AAA Group (dessert banana) is the source of this 2707-nucleotide RNA transcript. It is a transcript of the gene named F-box protein At5g51380-like, with no coding region annotated. Lineage: Eukaryota; Viridiplantae; Streptophyta; Magnoliopsida; Zingiberales; Musaceae. The record is from RefSeq and is a predicted model, not a curated record. The transcript is spliced from 3 exons.
UGCUUAAUUCCAUGUCCUCCCGUCCCGACCGACUAAGCUCAUGAGAAGAACAAGGCGCUUCUGCGCGUCUAUUUCUCCCCGUGGAGAUCAAAGUCGUGUUUAAUUAAGUCGGAGCGUGAAACAUUUUGCCACCGAAUUCCCUCCCUCCCUCUUCUGAAGAGAUGUAUAUCGUUCGCUUUCUAUAGAGAGAGGAAACCAGAUGCUUUGAACGGAAGGUAGGGGAAACGAACAGCAGCACGCGCCCCUUUGGCACAUAGAUAAGAUGGCGAUUCAGAGGGGAAGCACCCUGCUCCCCGCCGCGGCCUUCGCAGUCUCUCGCCGGAACCCUUGAUGUACCAUGCCCACUACCACAACCGCCUGAGGAGCUGGCCUAACACUUGGUUCGCUGCCGCUGCCGUUGACAAACCCCUCAAGCAUGUGGUCUUCAAGAUGCAGCUCAGUGACCAAACCCCUACCAUAGAAGAUCCCGCGCCGCGGCAGCGGCACGACGGCGACGGCGGCGGCGGCGCCGACCUCACAGCGCUGUUCUCCGACAAGCUCCUCCUCCGCAUCCUCGCUGCCGUACCGGACCCCCUCCGCCUCCCCGCCUCCCUCGUCUGCAAGCGAUGGCUCCGCCUCGUCGGCCGCCUGCGCCACUCCCUUACCCUCCUCGACUGGUCCUUCCUCGACAGCGGCCGCCUCUUCCUCCGCUUCCCCGACCUCGCUGAGCUCGACCUCGUCCCUGGCUCCUUCGCGUCCCCUUCGUCCGUAGCUGCCAGGGGCCGCGUCCUGCUUUCCUGGGGUCCUUUCUCUGUCACGGUCGACACCAACGCCGACUCUCCUGUAGGUGAGUGCUGCUUCCUCGACCCGGACGUCAUCGAUCGCGGCCUCGAGACCGUCGCCCGCAGCUGCCCUGGCCUUCGGAAGCUCUCCCUCGUCGCCAGUGACUCGGAGGCCGGCCUCAUGGCGAUCGCUGGAGGGUGCGACACUAUGCAGGAGCUGGAGCUCCAUCGGUGUUCCGACCUCGCCCUCCGCCCCAUCUUCGCCUUCAAGAACCUCCAGAUACUGCGGCUGGUGGGAUCCGUUGACGGGCUCUACUGCGGGCCUCGCGUCACGGACAUUGGGCUCACCAUACUGGCCCAUGGGUGCAAGCGGCUGGUGAAGCUGGAGCUCAGUGGGUGUGAGGGUAGCUACGACGGGAUCUCUGCCAUAGGGCGGUGCUGCAUGAUGCUUGAGGAAUUGACGAUCUCCGACCACCGGAUGGACGAUGGUUGGCUGGCGGCGUUAUCCUUCUGCGGAAACCUGAAGACGCUGAGAAUGCAGAGCUGUAGGAGGAUAGAUGCUGAUCCAGGGCCAUCGGAGCACCUCGGGACAUGCCCUGCCAUCGAGACGCUGCAGAUGCAGCGGUGCCAGCUGCGGGAUAAAAGAAGCUUACAAGCACUGUUUAUGGUGUGCGAGGCAGUUAGGGAUGUUGUGUUUGAAAAUUGUUGGGGGUUGGACAACAACAUGUUCGCGCUUGUGAGCAUUUGCAGGUAUGCAUGUUUCUCUAUGUUUCUUGGAUUUACCCCCUAAUUUUCUGUCGUUUUAUGAUAGUAAUUGCUGCCAUUUCUUGGGUUUGAUGAUGUGCCGGAAACUGUGUGGUUCCGUAGUGAUAGAAAAGCACAUUACAGAAGCUGAAGAUCAAAUUUGGUCCAAGUUAUAUCUUCACUCCUAGACUAUUUUUCCUGGACCGCUAAGCUAACUUUGCCACUGAAGAAACUUCAAGUUUCUGAUUUACCCCCUAAUUUGCUGUCAUUUUAUGAUAGUAAUUGUUGCCAUUUCUUCGUUUUAGCAUUUGCAGGUAUGCAUGUUUCUCUAUGUUUCUUGGAUUUACCCCCUAAUUUUCUGUCGUUUUAUGAUAGUAAUUGCUGCCAUUUCUUGGGUUUGAUGAUGUGCCGGAAACUGUGUGGUUCCGUAGUGAUAGAAAAGCACAUUACAGAAGCUGAAGAUCAAAUUUGGUCCAAGUUAUAUCUUCACUACUAGACUAUUUUUCCUGGACCGCUAAGCUAACUUUGCCACUGAAGAAACUUCAAGUUUCUGAUUUACCCCCUAAUUUGCUGUCAUUUUAUGAUAGUAAUUGUUGCCAUUUCUUCGUUUUAGCAUUUGCAGGUAUGCAUGUUUCUCUAUGUUUCUUGGAUUUACCCCCUAAUUUUCUGUCGUUUUAUGAUAGUAAUUGCUGCCAUUUCUUGGGUUUGAUGAUGUGCCGGAAACUGUGUGGUUCCGUAGUGAUAGAAAAGCACAUUACAGAAGCUGAAGAUCAAAUUUGGUCCAAGUUAUAUCUUCACUCCUAGACUAUUUUUCCUGGACCGCUAAGCUAACUUUGCCACUGAAGAAACUUCAAGUUUCUGAUGUUUGCAAUUGCCAGCAGAUUGGCAGCCAGUCAUGGUUAAGGCACACAGGCUGCCAAUCUCCUUUAUGACCAGUGCAGCACAAUGUGCACCUUUUGGUGUUGUUGCCAGGGAGCUACCAUAUGAAGCUUGCUGUAACACAACUCAUCGUCGGAGUUUAAUUGCCUGUUGGUGACUAUUUGUUAUGUCACCUAUACUGUAGCGGAGGGUGAAGUUUCUCUCACUGGAAGGAUGCUCGCUUGUAACAACUGAAGGUUUCGAGUCGGUAGUUCUAUCCUGGAUGGAUUUGCAGAGACUCACCGUCAUCUCGUGCAACAAUAUAAAGGAUGGCGAAGUAUCUC